RNAcentral lists this transfer RNA (76 nucleotides) under Saccharimonas sp. (SeqCode). RNAcentral describes it as "tRNA-Thr". It matches the Rfam family "tRNA". From Rfam's summary of the family: Transfer RNA (tRNA) molecules are approximately 80 nucleotides in length. Their secondary structure includes four short double-helical elements and three loops (D, anti-codon, and T loops). RNAcentral also lists the same sequence under 5 other names. Lineage: Bacteria; Candidatus Saccharimonadota; Candidatus Saccharimonadia; Saccharimonadales (SeqCode); Saccharimonadaceae (SeqCode). The record is from RNAcentral.
GCCGCGAUAGCUCAGUUGGUAGAGCGCAUCCAUGGUAAGGAUGAGGUCUCGGGUUCGACCCCCGAUCGUGGCUCCA